RNAcentral lists this long non-coding RNA (732 nucleotides) under Anas platyrhynchos platyrhynchos (common mallard). RNAcentral describes it as "lncRNA (ENSAPLG00000017639.1)". The record is from RNAcentral. Lineage: Eukaryota; Metazoa; Chordata; Aves; Anseriformes; Anatidae.
CUUUUCUGCUUCUUUCACUUCACAUGGCUUUUGUUCUUACUCAGAACAAGAAAUGUCACCGAUUUCUGUACACCUUGUGUAUGAAGAGGACAGAUGCUGUAUUCAUCAGUGCCCUGUUUCCACUUCUGCCUCCCUUUCAGGUCACCUUUUAAGAGGCAGUGAGCUGUGUUGCACUGUCUGAAGGAUAUUGAAAACUUGCUGCUGAACAGGAUUCAGAGUGGCUUAGGAGCAGAAAAUAUCUUCUCUUACUCGACACCUGUUGAGAAGUGACCUGGCUGUAACUCCUUUCUUGCUGCUACUCCUAAUGUACCAAAAGGGAGAGGAAGCCUUUGCUGCAAACCCUUCAGCAGAGAGGGGAUCCACGGAGGAUUCUGUUACGUGGUGCUGCCUAGGGCCCAGUUUGAUUUCACCUCGUCUUUCCAGCAGUCCUAGAUCUUUUCAAAAAAUGUGGGUGGAGGUCCAUUACACAUGCUUACUAUGGUUACUCGCCAUGAAAAACAGUACAAACAGCCAACACAGACUCCAGGUGGUGGAUCAGCAUUAAGCAUAAUAGACCCAGGGGCAGAGGAUUGGCAAGAUAUGACAAGAAAUGGUUGUACGUCCAUCCCCUUCAACUCCAUGACCUUCUGCGAGAGACAGGGAUAUGGAGGCACAAUCCACCAGGCUCCACCAUCUACUGUUUCAGAUGGUCUGUGGCCACUGAGCCUCUUCCAUGAAGACAAGAAGACUUGA